Molecule: ribosomal RNA, 253 nt
Filed under: uncultured bacterium
Lineage: Bacteria
Description: partial 16S ribosomal RNA
Rfam family: Bacterial small subunit ribosomal RNA
Source: RNAcentral
UACGUAGGGUGCGAGCGUUAAUCGGAAUUACUGGGCGUAAAGUGUGCGCAGGCGGCUUGGCAAGUCGAGUGUGAAAUCCCCGGGCUUAACUUGGGAAUUGCGCUCGAAACUACCUGGCUAGAGUGUGGCAGAGGAAGGUGGAAUUCCACGUGUAGCGGUGAAAUGCGUAGAGAUGUGGAGGAACACCGAUGGCGAAGGCAGCCCCCUGGGCUAACACUGACGCUCAUGCACGAAAGCGUGGGGAGCAAACAGG